GACGAACGCUGGCGGCGUGCCUAAUACAUGCAAGUCGAACGAGAGCGACCGGUGCUUGCACUGGUCAAUCUAGUGGCGAACGGGUGAGUAACACGUGGGUAACCUGCCCAUCAGAGGGGGAUAACAUCCGGAAACGGAUGCUAAAACCGCAUAGGUCUUCGAGCCGCAUGGCUUGAAGAGGAAAAGAGGCGCAAGCUUCUGCUGAUGGAUGGACCCGCGGUGCAUUAGCUAGUUGGUGAGGUAACGGCUCACCAAGGCCGUGAUGCAUAGCCGACCUGAGAGGGUGAUCGGCCACAUUGGGACUGAGACACGGCCCAAACCCCUACGGGAGGCAGCAGUAGGGAAUCUUCCGCAAUGGACGCAAGUCUGACGGAGCAACGCCGCGUGAGUGAAGAAGGUUUUCGGAUCGUAAAACUCUGUUGUUAGAGAAGAACAAGUGCUAGAGUAACUGUUAGCGCCUUGACGGUAUCUAACCAGAAAGCCACGGCUAACUACGUG
Molecule: ribosomal RNA, 498 nt
Filed under: uncultured bacterium
Lineage: Bacteria
Description: partial 16S ribosomal RNA
Rfam family: Bacterial small subunit ribosomal RNA
Source: RNAcentral